AGAGUUUGAUCCUGGCUCAGAUUGAACGCUGGCGGGAUGCUUUACACAUGCAAGUCGGACGGCAGCACGGGCUUCGGCCUGGUGGCGAGUGGCGAACGGGUGAGUAAUGUAUCGGAACGUGCCCAGUAGCGGGGAUAACUACGCGAAAGCGUGGCUAAUACCGCAUACGCCCUACGGGGAAAGCGGGGACCUUCGGGCCUCGCACUAUUGGAGCGGCCGAUAUCGGAUUAGCUAGUUGGUGGGGUAACGGCCUACCAAGGCGACGAUCCGUAGCUGGUUUGAGAGGACGACCAGCCACACUGGGACUGAGACACGGCCCAGACUCCUACGGGAGGCAGCAGUGGGGAAUUUUGGACAAUGGGGGCAACCCUGAUCCAGCCAUCCCGCGUGUGCGAUGAAGGCCUUCGGGUUGUAAAGCACUUUUGGCAGGAAAGAAACGGCACGGGCUAAUAUCCUGUGCAACUGACGGUACCUGCAGAAUAAGCACCGGCUAACUACGUGCCAGCAGCCGCGGUAAUACGUAGGGUGCAAGCGUUAAUCGGAAUUACUGGGCGUAAAGCGUGCGCAGGCGGUUCGGAAAGAAAGAUGUGAAAUCCCAGGGCUUAACCUUGGAACUGCAUUUUUUUUUUACUACCGGGCUAGAGUGUGUCAGAGGGAGGUGGAAUUCCGCGUGUAGCAGUGAAAUGCGUAGAUAUGCGGAGGAACACCGAUGGCGAAGGCAGCCUCCUGGGAUAACACUGACGCUCAUGCACGAAAGUGUGGGGAGCAAACAGGAUUAGAUACCCUGGUAGUCCACGCCCCAAACGAUGUCAACUAGCUGUUGGGGCCUUCGGGCCUUGGUAGCGCAGCUAACGCGUGAAGUUGACCGCCUGGGGAGUACGGUCGCAAGAUUAAAACUCAAAGGAAUUGACGGGGACCCGCACAAGCGGUGGAUGAUGUGGAUUAAUUCGAUGCAACGCGAAAACCUUACCUACCCUUGACAUGUCUGGAAUCCCGAAGAGAUUUGGGAGUGCUCGCAAGAGAACCGGAACACAGGUGCUGCAUGGCUGUCGUCAGCUCGUGUCGUGAGAUGUUGGGUUAAGUCCCGCAACGAGCGCAACCCUUGUCAUUAGUUGCUACGAAAGGGCACUCUAAUGAGACUGCCGGUGACAAACCGGAGGAAGGUGGGGAUGACGUCAAGUCCUCAUGGCCCUUAUGGGUAGGGCUUCACACGUCAUACAAUGGUCGGGACAGAGGGUUGCCAACCCGCGAGGGGGGAGCCAAUCCCAGAAACCCGGUCGUAGUCCGGAUCGCAGUCUGCAACUCGACUGCGUGAAGUCGGAAUCGCUAGUAAUCGCGGAUCAGCAUGUCGCGGUGAAUACGUUCCCGGGUCUUGUACACACCGCCCGUCACACCAUGGGGAGUGGGUUUUACCAGAAGUAGUUAGCCUAACCGCAAGGGCGAUUACCACGGUAGGAUUCAUGACUGGGGUGAAGUCGUAACAAGGUAGCCGUAUCGGAAGGUGCGGCUG
This 1510-nucleotide ribosomal RNA is filed under the name Bordetella pertussis. Its description in RNAcentral is "bacterial SSU rRNA". It matches the Rfam family "Bacterial small subunit ribosomal RNA". The record is from RNAcentral. Lineage: Bacteria; Pseudomonadati; Pseudomonadota; Betaproteobacteria; Burkholderiales; Alcaligenaceae.